Molecule: ribosomal RNA, 429 nt
Filed under: Bacteroidota bacterium
Lineage: Bacteria; Pseudomonadati; Bacteroidota
Description: Bacteroidetes bacterium partial 16S ribosomal RNA
Rfam family: Bacterial small subunit ribosomal RNA
Source: RNAcentral
UAGGGAAUCUUCGGCAAUGGGGGGAACCCUGACCGAGCAACGCCGCGUGAGUGAAGAAGGUUUUCGGAUCGUAAAGCUCUGUUGUUAAGGAAGAACGAGUGUGAGAAUGGAAAGUUCAUGCUGUGACGGUACUUAACCAGAAAGGGACGGCUAACUACGUGCCAGCAGCCGCGGUAAUACGUAGGUCCCGAGCGUUGUCCGGAUUUAUUGGGCGUAAAGCGAGCGCAGGCGGUUAGAAAAGUCUGAAGUGAAAGGCAGUGGCUCAACCAUUGUAGGCUUUGGAAACUGUUUAACUUGAGUGCAGAAGGGGAGGGUGGAAUUCCAUGUGUAGCGGUGAAAUGCGUAGAUAUUAGGAGGAACACCAGUGGCGAAGGCGACUUACUGGGCCAUAACUGACGCUGAGGCGCGAAAGCGUGGGGAGCAAACAGG